This 1286-nucleotide ribosomal RNA is filed under the name metagenome. Its description in RNAcentral is "bacterial SSU rRNA". It matches the Rfam family "Bacterial small subunit ribosomal RNA", at positions 243 to 1520 of the family's 1533-position model. The record is from RNAcentral.
AGCUAGUUGGUGGGGUAAAAGCUCACCAAGGCGACGAUCUGUAGCGGGUCUGAGAGGAUGAUCCGCCACACUGGAACUGAGACACGGUCCAGACUCCUACGGGAGGCAGCAGUGGGGAAUUUUGGACAAUGGGGGCAACCCUGAUCCAGCCAUGCCGCGUGAGUGAAGAAGGCCUUCGGGUUGUAAAGCUCUUUCGGCCGGGAAAAAAUCGCAUGGGUUAAUACCCUGUGUGGAUGAUGGUACCGGAAUAAGAAGCACCGGCUAACUACGUGCCAGCAGCCGCGGUAAUACGUAGGGUGCGAGCGUUAAUCGGAAUUACUGGGCGUAAAGCGUGCGCAGGCGGUUUUGUAAGACAGGCGUGAAAUCCCCGGGCUCAACCUGGGAACUGCGCUUGUGACUGCAAGGCUAGAGUAUGGCAGAGGGGGGUGGAAUUCCACGUGUAGCAGUGAAAUGCGUAGAGAUGUGGAGGAACACCAAUGGCGAAGGCAGCCCCCUGGGCCGAUACUGACGCUCAUGCACGAAAGCGUGGGUAGCAAACAGGAUUAGAUACCCUGGUAGUCCACGCCCUAAACGAUGUCAACUAGGUGUUGGGAGGGUAAAACCUUUUAGUACCGGAGCUAACGCGUGAAGUUGACCGCCUGGGGAGUACGGCCGCAAGGUUAAAACUCAAAGGAAUUGACGGGGACCCGCACAAGCGGUGGAUGAUGUGGAUUAAUUCGAUGCAACGCGAAAAACCUUACCUACCCUUGACAUGUCCAGGAGCCUGAAGAGAUUUGGGUGUGCCCGAAAGGGAACUGGAGCACAGGUGCUGCAUGGCUGUCGUCAGCUCGUGUCGUGAGAUGUUGGGUUAAGUCCCGCAACGAGCGCAACCCUUGUCGUUAAUUGCCAUCAUUCAGUUGGGCACUUUAACGAGACUGCCGGUGACAAACCGGAGGAAGGUGGGGAUGACGUCAAGUCCUCAUGGCCCUUAUGGGUAGGGCUUCACACGUCAUACAAUGGUCGGUACAAAGGGUUGCCAACCCGCGAGGGGGAGCCAAUCCCAGAAAGCCGAUCGUAGUCCGGAUUGCAGGCUGCAACUCGCCUGCAUGAAGUCGGAAUCGCUAGUAAUCGUGGAUCAGCAUGUCACGGUGAAUACGUUCCCGGGUCUUGUACACACCGCCCGUCACACCAUGGGAGCGGGUUCCGCCAGAAGUAGGUAGCCUAACCGCAAGGGGGGCGCUUACCACGGCGGGGUUCGUGACUGGGGUGAAGUCGUAACAAGGUAGCCGUAGGGGAACCUGCGGCUG